Molecule: long non-coding RNA, 471 nt
Filed under: Nicotiana benthamiana
Lineage: Eukaryota; Viridiplantae; Streptophyta; Magnoliopsida; Solanales; Solanaceae
Description: long non-coding RNA (NBEN_LNC033932)
Source: RNAcentral
CCUCAUCUCUCUCAUCUCUAACCUAGAGACUCUCAGGCCACCGCCCUCCGCUGCCUGCCGCUCGCUGGAAAUCUCCUACGGUAGCGGCCGACAUUCGAUGACACCCAAAUUUACACCACAGUCUCCCCUCUUCCAAAUACACCUUUAGUUUCCUUCAAAUCCUUGCCGAAUCUAUUGAAUAUCAAAUCAAAGUCUCGACCCCCAAAACCCUAACUCGAUGGACAACACUCAAAUCCGCACCAGGGCUUCGUCUUUGUCAACUCAUCGUCAAUCCACUUUUAUUUUCUCUCAAAAUCCACUGAAACGCCCCCAAAUACCCUAACCAUAGCCGCUGCAUUUAGCUUCCGGUGGCGGCGCCUCCACCAAAACACAACCAAACAUACACCCUAGAUUUACCUUGACCCUCUAUUCCCCUAUCCCGAACAAAUUCCUCUCAAAUCCAGCCAGAAUCUUUUGAAUCUCGAAGUUUAG